Non-coding RNA from Odocoileus virginianus texanus, 873 nucleotides. Lineage: Eukaryota; Metazoa; Chordata; Mammalia; Artiodactyla; Cervidae. The record is from RefSeq and is a predicted model, not a curated record.
CCCAUCUUGCAAGAUGGCGGGUGAAAAGGCUGAGAAGCCAGAUACUAAGGAGAAAAAACCUGAAGCCAAGAAGGCUGAUGCUGGCAACAAGGCUAAAAAGGUGAAAAUGGUGAAGAAAAUUAAGAAGGGUAAGCCCCACUGCAGCCGAAACCCUGUCCUGGUCAGAGGAAUUGGCAGAUAUUCCCGAUCAGCCAUGUACUCCAAAAGGGCCCUGUACAAGAGAAAGCAUUCAGCAGCUAAAUCCAAGGUCGAAAAGAAAAAGAAAGUUCGGGUUCUUUCUACUGUCACAAAACCAGUUGGUGGCGACAAGAAUGGUGGUAUCUGAGUGGUCAAACUUCGCAAAAUGCCUAGGUAUUACCCUACUGAAGAUGUGCCUCAGAAACUGUUGAGUCACGGCAAGAAACCCUUCAGUAAGCACAUGAGGAAGCUGCGCGCCAGCGUCACUCCUGGGACCGGUCUGAUCAUCCUCAGGGGGCGCCACAGAGGCAAAAGGGUGGUUUUCCUGAAGCAGCUGGGCAGUGGCUUGCUUCUUGUGACUGGGCCUCUAUCCCUCAAUCUAGUUCCUCUGUGUAGAACACACCAGAAAUUUGUCAUUGCCACCUCCACCAAAAUCGAUAUCAGUGGUGUGAUAAUCCCAGAUCAUCUCACUGACACUUACUUCAAGAAGAAGCUGCAUAAGCCCAGACACCAGGAGGGUGGGAACUUCGACAGAGAGAGAGAAAUACGAGAUCACAGAGCAGCGCAAGGCUGAUCAGAAAGCUGUGGACUCACAAAUUCUGCGAAGAAUCAAAGCUGUCCCUCAGCUCCAGCGCUACCUCCGCUCUGUGUUUGCUCUCACAAAUGGAAUUUAUCCUCACAAAGUAGUAUUCUGAA